Molecule: ribosomal RNA, 404 nt
Filed under: uncultured prokaryote
Also listed under: 1 other name
Description: bacterial SSU rRNA
Rfam family: Bacterial small subunit ribosomal RNA
Source: RNAcentral
UGGGGAAUCUUGCGCAAUGGGGGCAACCCUGACGCAGCAACGCCGCGUGCGGGAUGGAGGCCUUCGGGUUGUAAACCGCUUUCAGUGGGGAAGAAACAUGACGGUACCCACAGAAGAAGCUCCGGCUAACUACGUGCCAGCAGCCGCGGUAAUACGUAGGGAGCGAGCGUUAUCCGGAUUCAUUGGGCGUAAAGGGCGCGUAGGCGGCCCGUUAAGCCAGGUGUCAAAUCGAGGGGCUCAACCUCCGCACGCACCUGGAACUGGCGGGCUCGAGUCCGGUAGGGGAAGACGGAACUCCCAGUGUAGCGGUGAAAUGCGCAGAUAUUGGGAGGAACACCGAUGGCGAAGGCAGUCUUCUGGGCCGGCACUGACGCUGAGGCGCGAAAGCUGGGGGAGCGAACAGG